Molecule: ribosomal RNA, 450 nt
Filed under: uncultured bacterium
Lineage: Bacteria
Description: bacterial SSU rRNA
Rfam family: Bacterial small subunit ribosomal RNA
Source: RNAcentral
GAAUUCACUAGUGAUUCAGGCCUAACACAUGCAAGUCGAACGAUGAAGCCCAGCUUGCUGGGUGGAUUAGUGGCGAACGGGUGAGUAACACGUGAGCAACCUGCCCCUGACUCUGGGAUAAGCGCUGGAAACGGCGUCUAAUACUGGAUAUGUCCCGUCACCGCAUGGUGUGCGGGUGGAAAGAUUUUUCGGUUGGGGAUGGGCUCGCGGCCUAUCAGCUUGUUGGUGAGGUAAUGGCUCACCAAGGCGUCGACGGGUAGCCGGCCUGAGAGGGUGACCGGCCACACUGGGACUGAGACACGGCCCAGACUCCUACGGGAGGCAGCAGUGGGGAAUAUUGCACAAUGGGCGGAAGCCUGAUGCAGCAACGCCGCGUGAGGGAUGACAGCGUUCGGGUUGUAAACCUCUUUUAGCAGGGAAGAAGCGAGAGUGACGGUACCGCAGAAAAAA